This 782-nucleotide ribosomal RNA is filed under the name Escherichia coli. RNAcentral's name for it is "partial 23S ribosomal RNA". It matches the Rfam family "Bacterial large subunit ribosomal RNA", at positions 454 to 1238 of the family's 2925-position model. Lineage: Bacteria; Pseudomonadati; Pseudomonadota; Gammaproteobacteria; Enterobacterales; Enterobacteriaceae. The record is from RNAcentral.
CAUCCUCCAAGGCUAAAUACUCCUGACUGACCGAUAGUGAACCAGUACCGUGAGGGAAAGGCGAAAAGAACCCCGGCGAGGGGAGUGAAAAAGAACCUGAAACCGUGUACGUACAAGCAGUGGGAGCCUCUUAAUGGGGUGACUGCGUACCUUUUGUAUAAUGGGUCAGCGACUUAUAUUCUGUAGCAAGGUUAACCGAAUAGGGGAGCCGAAGGGAAACCGAGUCUUAACUGGGCGUUAAGUUGCAGGGUAUAGACCCGAAACCCGGUGAUCUAGCCAUGGGCAGGUUGAAGGUUGGGUAACACUAACUGGAGGACCGAACCGACUAAUGUUGAAAAAUUAGCGGAUGACUUGUGGCUGGGGGUGAAAGGCCAAUCAAACCGGGAGAUAGCUGGUUCUCCCCGAAAGCUAUUUAGGUAGCGCCUCGUGAAUUCAUCUCCGGGGGUAGAGCACUGUUUCGGCAAGGGGGUCAUCCCGACUUACCAACCCGAUGCAAACUGCGAAUACCGGAGAAUGUUAUCACGGGAGACACACGGCGGGUGCUAACGUCCGUCGUGAAGAGGGAAACAACCCAGACCGCCAGCUAAGGUCCCAAAGUCAUGGUUAAGUGGGAAACGAUGUGGGAAGGCCCAGACAGCCAGGAUGUUGGCUUAGAAGCAGCCAUCAUUUAAAGAAAGCGUAAUAGCUCACUGGUCGAGUCGGCCUGCGCGGAAGAUGUAACGGGGCUAAACCAUGCACCGAAGCUGCGGCAGCGACACUAUGUGUUGUUGGGUAGGGGAGCG